RNAcentral lists this ribosomal RNA (1290 nucleotides) under uncultured delta proteobacterium. Its description in RNAcentral is "bacterial SSU rRNA". It matches the Rfam family "Bacterial small subunit ribosomal RNA", at positions 14 to 1286 of the family's 1533-position model. The record is from RNAcentral. Lineage: Bacteria; Deltaproteobacteria.
UGAUCCUGGCUGAGAACGAACGCUGGCGGUAUGCUUAACACAUGCAAGUCGAGCGAGAACAAAGGGGCUUGCUCUUUGGGAAAGCGGCGCACGGGUGAGUAACACGUGGAUAAUGUGCCCUUGGACUCGGAAUAACUCACCGAGAGGUGCGCUAAUACCGGAUACGCUCCUUUUUGGUUCGCCAUUGAGGAGGAAAGCGGGGCGACUCGCAUCCAAGGAUCAGUCCGCGACCUAUCAGCUUGUUGGCGGGGUAAUGGCCCACCAAGGCAACGACGGGUAGCUGGUCUUAGAGGACGAUCAGCCACACUGGGACUGAGGCACGGCCCAGACUCCUACGGCAGGCAGCAGUGGGGAAUAUUGGACAAUGGGCGAUAGUCUGAUCCAGCAAUACCGCGUGAGUGAUGAAGGCCUUCGGGUUGUAAAGCUCUGUCGGGAGGAACGAAAAAGCCAGCUAAUAACUGGUGUUGACGGUACCUUCAAAGGAAGCACCGGCUAACUCUGUGCCAGCAGCCGCGGUAAUACAGAGGGUGCAAGCGUUGCUCGGAAUUACUGGGCGUAAAGCGAGUGUAGGCGGCUUGGUUAGUCAGAUGUGAAAGCCCUCGGCUUAACCGAGGAAGUGCAUCUGAUACUGCCAAGCUAGAGUGUCGGAGGGGAUGGCGGAAUUCCCGGUGUAGAGGUGAAAUUCGUAGAUAUCGGGAGGAACACCCGUGGCGAAGGCGGCCAUCUGGAAGACAACUGACGCUGAGACUCGAAAGCGUGGGGAGCAAACAGGAUUAGAUACCCUGGUAGUCCACGCUGUAAACGAUGAGUGCUAGGUGUUGCGGGUAUUGACCCCCGCAGUGCCAAAGCUAACGCGUUAAGCACUCCGCCUGGGGAGUACGGUCGCAAGAUUAAAACUCAAAGGAAUUGACGGGGGCUCGCACAAGCGGUGGAGCAUGUGGUUUAAUUCGACACUACGCGAGGAACCUUACCUAGGCUUGACAUGCAUUUGACAGUUGUGGAAACACAAUCUCUCAGAUUUCGGUUUGAGCAGAUGCACAGGUGCUGCAUGGCUGUCGUCAGCUCGUGUCGUGAGAUGUUCGGUUAAGUCCUCUAACGAGCGCAACUCCUAUCGUCAGUUGCUAUUGUCUUUAUGGCAAGCACUCUGGCGAAACUGCCUGGGAAACCAGGAGGAAGGCGGGAACGACGUCAAGUCAUCAUGGUCCUUAUGCCUAGGGCUACACACGUGUUACAAUGGCCAGCACAAAGGGCUGCGGACUCGUAAGAGCAAGCUAAUCCCACAAAGCUGGU